UGAGGAAUUUUCCGCAAUGGGCGAAAGCCUGACGGAGCAAUGCCGCGUGGAGGAGGAAGGCCCGAGGGUUGUAAACUCCUUUUCUCAGAAAAGAAGAUCUGACGGUAUCUGAGGAAUAAGCAUCGGCUAACUCCGUG
This 137-nucleotide ribosomal RNA is filed under the name uncultured bacterium. RNAcentral describes it as "partial 16S ribosomal RNA". It matches the Rfam family "Bacterial small subunit ribosomal RNA", at positions 355 to 507 of the family's 1533-position model. The record is from RNAcentral.